UGGGGAGGUUGGACUACAUGACCUUUGGAGGUCCCUUCCAGCCUGGAUCAUUCCAGGAUUCUAUGAUUCUGUGCAAUGUAUGUAUGUCCACAGCUGGCUUCACUGCAUGGUUGCAAGGACCAUGCAAAACCUACUUUACCAUUGCCCAUCCCAGGCAGCAGGUGCUCCUCCGGACACAGCUACCAGGAGACUUCGCUGCCCAUCCAGACUCAUGUUUCAACACAGUGGCAAGGAAAGACGAAGUGGGAGCUAGACAUCCUACCUUCCACUUGUUGCGAUUUUCACUAUCCUAUUCACCGUUCCCUAACUUAUCGAAGUCUACAGUUAUAGAAGAUGUGUGCUUGAAAAUCAGAUCAUUCAAGUUUCAACAGGACUGGCAAGUCUAGCCCAGACAAAGCCUGAUUAUGAUCAUCCCAGCUCCCUUACAGCAAAGGAAACACGCUUCAAAGAUUAUAUGUAUUUUUAAAUGGCACUA
This 475-nucleotide long non-coding RNA is filed under the name Calidris pugnax (ruff). RNAcentral describes it as "lncRNA (ENSCPUG00000013800.1)". Lineage: Eukaryota; Metazoa; Chordata; Aves; Charadriiformes; Scolopacidae. The record is from RNAcentral.